RNAcentral lists this ribosomal RNA (259 nucleotides) under uncultured bacterium. Its description in RNAcentral is "partial 16S ribosomal RNA". It matches the Rfam family "Bacterial small subunit ribosomal RNA", at positions 524 to 776 of the family's 1533-position model. The record is from RNAcentral.
GACGUAGGGGGCAAGCGUUGUUCGGAAUUAUUGGGCGUAAAGCGCUCGUAGGCGGGAUUGGAAGUCCGUGUUGAAAGACCUCGGCUCAACUGAGGGACCGGCUCGGAUACUCUAAUUCUUGAGGCAAUCAGAGGAUGAUGGAAUUCCCGGUGGUAGCGGUGAAAUGGCGUAGAUAUCGGGAGGAACACCAGUGGCGGAAGGCGAGUCAUCUGGGGUUGUUCGUGCACGCUGAGGAGCGAAAGCUAGGGGAGCAAACGGG